UGGCCCACUGGGCUACAACUUUCAGGCUCUUCAGCAAUCUCUCCGUCCACUUGUAGCGGGUGAGAGGCAGGUGGCCAUGGCGAAAGCGCAUUUGCAGCCUUUAGCGACGGAAAGACACAUCUAGCGCUAGUCAAAAUUUGAAUGAGCAAAGUUAUAAUCAUAGUAAACGUCGCCCCCUUCCGUCACUAAGAUAUGGACUAGAAUCACUAGUCGCUCUCGGCGCUGCCUGCUGAACUGUGCUUCUUGUACAGCAACGCCACAAAGACAGACUCUCCAGCAGCGCUUCUCAGCGGUACUGAACUGUAAUCAGGUGGAGAUUAACAUCUUUACGGAUUCGGGGAUUUUAACGGGGAUGGCAUUGGAAGUCCGCGCGUGUGGUUUCCCUCCUUACAAAAACCAAACGCUUAGAUACUCCUAAAAUGAAACCUCACCACUACUAUUAACGCCAGAAAACAUCUGCAAUCAAAUAGUUAAAAUGAUUAUAUCUCCUCCCGCUAAAAGGCAUCCAAAAGCACUACUAGCUGAUCCACAUGGCCCAGGGUUUGUACUGAAUGACCACGUGCACACAACGCAAAAGGUCAACUUUUCAAAUUAGGAGAGAAAACGCUUUAUGUGAAAUACUUGAACCUCCUCACAGUUAAAUUGAGCAUGCAUAGCAAUGAGGCGCUAUCUCCGGGCGACAGUCAGAGCGGGCGUGGUAACGUACACUUGACGGUUUUGUUUUACGAGCUGAACUAAUGAACAGCAAUUUGGAGAAUAAAGUAAACAAAUAACAGCGCAGUUUACUUUGGGGAAAGGCGUUUCUAUGAAGUUUGGAUGCUGGUGGGUUAGGAGAGGAUUUCCUAUUGCAGUUCUGAACGAAUUCCCACUUCCCCUCUCCGCUGUUCUACAGUGGCGAAGGCUAGACGCUACCUUCUGCUAAUAGGCUACACGCACAAAAGAAACUACGCUGGGCAUUAAACAGCUGGGGCAAAAGGUUCAGCCCCAGGCCCCUAGUUGGUCAGCUUGGCUUUUGUAAACUUCAGCUCGUUUGCAGGUGGAUUUGGCCAUGACAAUGGGCACCUGCCAUUUGCCACUGUCAAGAGGACAGGAUACUGGGCUUGAUGGAUCUUUGGUCUGAUGCAGUAUGGCCGUUCUUAAGAAUUGGACCCUCUGAGGAGAGCCCCAAUGAACGGGAUACUGCUAAUCCAUGCAGUGUCCAGGGGGGAAGAUGCAUGAUCACUGGGGUGUGUCCUGGCAGGCAAUCCUGCACUUGUUUCGUACCCGCACACUUCGCUUUGACUCUGGCUGAAAUCUGGGGGCUAACAAGUCAUCUCUUCCCAAUACCCUCUGCUAAAUACCUUCACAUUAUACUGUACUAGCAUAGCAUUAUGGCUACUCCAUAAAUCAGAGGAUUAUGUCACAAACGCUUGAAAUGAAGUGGAGAGAAAAUAUCAUGGGAUCUUCACCUGAAAUAGAAGAUAACGUCUUUUCAGUAAUAUUUGUGUUCCUGAUCCUUAUCCUCUCAAGGAAAACACCAAUUGACUUCAAUCAGUGCAGUAGAAUCCCUGCUAAAUUAGCCCAGAAUAAGGAGUAUGGAUUAAAC
This is a long non-coding RNA of Trachemys scripta elegans, 1585 nucleotides long. RefSeq lists it as uncharacterized. NCBI's taxonomy places the organism in Eukaryota, Metazoa, Chordata, Testudines, Emydidae. The record is from RefSeq and is a predicted model, not a curated record. The transcript is spliced from 4 exons.